AUCCGGCUGACGAGUCCCAAAUAGGACGAAAUGUUCGUUGUUUUAGAU
RNAcentral lists this non-coding RNA (48 nucleotides) under Trichobilharzia regenti. The record is from RNAcentral. Lineage: Eukaryota; Metazoa; Platyhelminthes; Trematoda; Strigeidida; Schistosomatidae.